AGUGAACGCUGGCGGUAGGCCUAACACAUGCAAGUCGAACGGCAGCACAGUAAGAGCUUGCUCUUACGGGUGGCGAGUGGCGGACGGGUGUGGAGUACAUCGGAAUCUACUUUUUCGUGGGGGAUAACGUAGGGAAACUUACGCUAAUACCGCAUACGACCUACGGGUGAAAGCAGGGGAUCUUCGGACCUUGCGCGAUUGAAUGAGCCGAUGUCGGAUUAGCUAGUUGGCGGGGUAAAGGCCCACCAAGGCGACGAUCCGUAGCUGGUCUGAGAGGAUGAUCAGCCACACUGGAACUGAGACACGGUCCAGACUCCUACGGGAGGCAGCAGUGGGGAAUAUUGGACAAUGGGCGCAAGCCUGAUCCAGCCAUACCGCGUGGGUGAAGAAGGCCUUCGGGUUGUAAAGCCCUUUUGUUGGGAAAGAAAAGCAGCAGGUUAAUACCCCGCUGUUCUGACGGUACCCAAAGAAUAAGCACCGGCUAACUUCGUG
Molecule: ribosomal RNA, 492 nt
Filed under: uncultured bacterium
Lineage: Bacteria
Description: partial 16S ribosomal RNA
Rfam family: Bacterial small subunit ribosomal RNA
Source: RNAcentral